Molecule: unclassified non-coding RNA, 426 nt
Filed under: rhizosphere metagenome
Description: partial ribosomal RNA internal transcribed spacer region
Source: RNAcentral
GUAGGUGAACCUGCGGAAGGAUCAUUACCAAUCCAAAAAAAAACCGAAUACACCUGUGCACUCUGGGAAUGUCUUUAGGGGUACGGAAGUUCCUUCUCUUAGGCUUUUAAAUGGCACAAUUUAUAUAUAUUGUUGUUGUAUAUGCGCGCAUUUUUGUCAAGUUGUCAAAAAAGUAAGACUAUUGGAAGGGCUGCGGGCCUAUUCAAUGACUUUACUUUUUCAAUGAAACAUCAUGCAUGUGUAUUCUACGAUGUGAUAUAUAUGAUUGGAAAGUUUCUAAGCUGCUUGACGAGAUGGAUACUUUGUCCCCGGAUGUAUUAAACAACUUGUUUAACCAAUUUUUAUUUUCAUUUUGUCUGACUUUUGUCAACGAAAUGUAAAAACAAAAAACAAAUACAACUUUUAGCGGUGGAUCUCUUGGCUCAU